RNAcentral lists this ribosomal RNA (253 nucleotides) under uncultured bacterium. RNAcentral's name for it is "partial 16S ribosomal RNA". It matches the Rfam family "Bacterial small subunit ribosomal RNA", at positions 524 to 776 of the family's 1533-position model. The record is from RNAcentral.
GACGAACUGUGCGAACGUUGUUCGGAAUCACUGGGCUUAAAGGGUGCGUAGGCGGGCUUGUAAGUCAGUGGUGAAAGCCCGGAGCUUAACUCCGGAAUUGCCGUUGAUACUGCAAGUCUUGAGUACAGUUGAGGUGGGCGGAAUACAUCAUGUAGUAGUGAAAUACUUAGAUAUGAUGUAGAACACCGAUUGCGAAGGCAGCUCACUAAAGUGUAACUGACGCUGAGGCACGAAAGCGUGGGGAUCAAACAGG